Molecule: long non-coding RNA, 295 nt
Filed under: Setaria viridis
Lineage: Eukaryota; Viridiplantae; Streptophyta; Magnoliopsida; Poales; Poaceae
Description: long non-coding RNA (SVIR_LNC010857)
Source: RNAcentral
CCUCGUCCAACGGGAAUGAUCCACCAAGAAAAUUACAUUGAGGUGGUUCAUCAUCCAGGUAGACAAUCCUGUGUGGGACACAUCACGCAUAGGGACUCUAAGCCUAUCAGCUAUUUGUGUCCCAAAGUCUAUAUUGAGCUCCCUGAAACAUGAACUAAAUGUACUCUCGGCUACAAGGAAUCCAAAUCGUACGAUAGAAAACUCGGACCCAAUCCUCAAUAUGCUGAUGAUGCCUUGAAACCAAAUCAACCAACCUGGGUAGUUGAUCGAAGUAUCCCUCAAUAUUCUCUCCUCC